Molecule: ribosomal RNA, 253 nt
Filed under: uncultured bacterium
Lineage: Bacteria
Description: partial 16S ribosomal RNA
Rfam family: Bacterial small subunit ribosomal RNA
Source: RNAcentral
UACAGAGGUCCCGAGCGUUGUUCGGAUUCACUGGGCGUAAAGGGUGCGUAGGCGGGUCUUUAAGUCAGGGGUGAAAUCCUGGAGCUCAACUCCAGAACUGCCUUUGAUACUGAGGAUCUUGAGUAUGGGAGAGGUGAGUGGAACUGCGAGUGUAGAGGUGAAAUUCGUAGAUAUUCGCAAGAACACCAGUGGCGAAGGCGGCUCACUGGCCCAUUACUGACGCUGAGGCACGAAAGCGUGGGGAGCAAACAGG